RNAcentral lists this long non-coding RNA (3574 nucleotides) under Homo sapiens (human). RNAcentral's name for it is "HSALNT0380997". Lineage: Eukaryota; Metazoa; Chordata; Mammalia; Primates; Hominidae. The record is from RNAcentral.
UCCCACCUGCCACAGGGCGUGGCCCAGACAGGGAGGGGGUGGUUCAGGAAUGCUCCAGGGCCAUUGCCAGAUGAUGUCCUCCUUCAUCAUCCUCCCUUCCCCGCCAGCAACUUCUCCAACUCCAGGUGGGGGUCCUGGCUCCCAGGACGCAGAGGCCCAUGGAGCGGCCCUGCCACCGCAUGGGGUGCUGCAGUCUGCGUAGGAGGUACCAAAGGGCAGAGCCUCUGUGGGAAGCCUGUGGACGCACUUCCCAAUCUGAGACUGCCCUCUGUACCCUCUUGGGGCCUCUCUGUGAGCACCCAGGGCGAGGGGAUGAGGGAGCGUCCUGGGCCGUGGUCUUCUCAUUCACCCCCAGGGAACAGCCCAUAGACUGAGGGCCUCACAGACCCUGGGCUUGGCUUUCCAGGCCCUGCCAGAGUGCAGCCUGCCUAGCCCGGGGCUGAAGGGUAGGCUCCCUGGAGGAAGGGGUGACCUGGAACUGCGAGGGCUGUGGAGUCUCCUCCAAAAUUAGAGACACGGUGUUAACUCUGGGCUCCACAGAGCUGGCCGUGGCCCGGGGCUCGGAGGCAGGGGUGCAGAGGGAGCUGGUGGGCGCCCAUCCCUUCCUCCCCGAGCAGCCGUGGACUACAUGCCAGAGUGAAGGCGAGUUCUAAUUCUGGGGGUCUCACCCGCCUCUGGCUAAACUCAGGGUAGCAGUGUGGGCUGGGGUGUGUGUGUGUGGGUGUCUUCCAGCGGCCCUGGAGCCUCUGAAGCGACAGCCCGCUCCUCAGGGAGGCGCUCCUGGCAGCCACAGCCCACAGCAGGACAGCCGCUCAGCGCGCCCUUGAGAGCUGGGCUAGGGAUGAGUCACACUUGAACCGCCUGGGCCCACUGCAGGCAGUCAGGGGUGACGCUGAGAGGUGCCGUGGUCUCGGGUGGGGUGCGGCUUCCUGCGUCUGAGAGACGCUUCCUCUCCUGCUGUCCUCUCCCUGCCAGGCCCCUUCUGCAGCGGCUGGCUUCCAGACACCCUGCGUCCCUCCCUUGCUCGCAGCAGUUGCUGUGGCGGUCCUCCCGUGCACCCCCCCUUCUGCCCUCACUGCCCCUGGGGGUCCUCAUCACGGACCCCCUAACUCGGCAUCCUGGACACCACCACCCCGCACCUUUCCACAGUGCAGCUCUGCUCGUGCCUGUGAAGCCUCCCACAGCCUGGGAAGGAAAAUCCAGACUUGCCAGACCUUGCCUCAGCCAGGCCUUGGAAGCCUGCCAGCUUACCUAACCAGUAAGACCCUCAGCCCAUGGAGUCCUGUGUGAUGUUGUGAGCGUGGGAGGACAGACUGAACUGCUCGGCCCGUGGAGUCCUGUGUGAUGUUGUGAGCGGGGAGGACAGACUGAACUGCGUGGUGCUUCGCACAUAGACCUCAACAGGGAUUGGCAUUUUGAAGCUGUUGGCGGGGGCUGUGGACUGCUUUUCUUCCUUUCUAGCUCAACGGCAGCUAAAGCCACUGCAUACAAUGCAAGGACUGGCUCCUGUUUGGCCACGACUGAUUGCAGCCCCUGGUGAAAUGAGAACCCUGUGGGUCGGAACAAAGUUUGGAUUAUUUAUGUUGCAAGUAACUAAAAUCUCAAGUGAAACUGGUUUAAACAUUAUAUUUUUAUUAUUUAUUUAUUUAUAUUUAAUUCUUUUUUAGAGACAGGGUCUUCUUAGGUUGCCCAGGCUGGUCUUGAACUCCUGGCCUCAACGAUCUUCCCACUUCAGCCUCCUGCAUUGCUGGGAUUAUAGGUGUGAGCCACCAUGCCUGGCUUACACAGUAUAAAGGGAAUGCAUUGGCCCACACAGUGGAAAAAAAUAUCUAGUAGGAAUAGGAAGGACUUCAGGUGAGGUUUGAUCCAGCAGCUCAAAUGUUGUCACCACAGGCCUGGAUUCCUCUGGCCUUUCUCAAGGUCUCUUUCAUUUUCAUGCUCCACAAGAUGGCUUCUGCCAGGCUGACCUCCCUCCCCUGACCCCAGCAGCUCUGGACACCCCUCUCAGUGCCAUUUAUAUUGUUGCAUCAAUAGGCUCAUUUCUAUAUACUGCAAGGUUCAGAGAAGACAGAGUAUCUCUCUCAAGAGUUCUAACAUAAGUCUGGGGGUCCUGGCUCUCAUAGGCUUGAACAGGGCCACAUGUCCAUUCCUGAGCCAAUAUUUGUGACCAAGGGGAUGUGGUCAAUCUCAUCCAAACCUCACUUGAAGUGAGGGUGGGAGGAGGAGUGCUCUGCAAGGAGACUGUAGGUCUGGACCACCAAAAAGGUAGAUGGGUUGGUGGGAAAAGCCAGAUGCCUACUAUGGUAGUGGGCGGGGGGAGGGCACACUGGCAAGGUACAGCAAGAGGCAGGGGCAGUGCUGGACAGGCAGGGGCUCCUCCCUAGCACGACUGGAGAAAGGACUCCUGUGAAGCGGUCACCUCCAUGAGUCCCUCCUGUCCUGGCUUCCAACCACUCUGAAGUGGGGCUUUUGUCCACAGACCUGGCCUCUGCUGCCUACCCUCUUCUGUCCCCACCUGAUGGGGCCGCUUUCCUUCUGAAGCGGCUGCAUUUUGGGUUUCUCUCCACAGGAAGAGUUGGGGCUCACAGGCACACCCUCUCCCUAACUCUUCUCCCCCGGUUCAACCUGGAUCCAGGGAUCCACACUCUGCUCCGAGAGGCCAGCACGCAGCCACUGGAAAAUGAGCCAGUGGGAGAGGGCAGCUCCAUGUUUAUUGAUCAGCAGACUAUGUCUUUUUGUUUGAAACUUCUAAAUAAGAUUACAAAAAGAAAAAAAAUAGAAGCAUUGCGUAUUAACUGCAUUGGUUAACCAACAUUGGAACCCAAUACUCUUGUAUUAGGCCCGCAUUUACCUGAGUAAACUCAGUGGUUUUCUGUCCUAAGCAUGCUUGCCUGCUACAUCCCAUGGAGAAAAUAAACAGUGAAACACUUUCCUCAUCUUCAAGGCAAUUGUCUCAGGCAUCCUCCAGGCAUCAUGAAGGAGGGUGAGCGAGGGUGCGAGGUGGAAAGGUCCAGGCCGCGGCUGUGACUCCCGCGGGUGAACCACAGCUCCACAGCCCCAAAUCCAAAGAUGCUCUUGCUGCAGCACGACAAGUGUUCAAAAGAGAACCAGGCCCAGCCCGGAGAAAGGAAAGCCAAAAGCCAACUGAAUGAAUGACCCUCCCCCAGAAGAGCAACCCUGCCCCCAGGCCAUCCAAGUGCGAACAUUACCAGGUGCCAGCAGGGAAAGGACUCCGCUGCCUGACGCCUCUCCCACCUGAGAGCGCAGAGUUCACCCUUUGGUGACCUCCACCGUGGCUGCAGACUUCAGGUGGUCCUCACGCAUUCACAGAACUGUCUGCUUAGGUUACAGCACUUUGGGAGGCCGAGGUGGGUAGAUCACGAGGUCAGGAGAUCGAGACCAUAUUGACCAACAUGGUAAAACCCCAUCUCUACUAAAAUACAAAAAUUAGCCGGGCGUGGUGGCGGGUGCCUGUAGUCCCAGCUACUUGGGAGGCUGAGGCAGGGGAAUCACUUGAACCUGGGAGGCGGAGGUUGCAGUGAACUGAGAUUGCGCCACUGCACUCCAGCCUGGG